CGACGAUGUGUCAGUCAGGUCAAUGUUCGCCCUCAGGGCAGGACGGUUUGGGUUUUUAGUUGUGAUGUUUGAGGGGGCUUAUUUUUUGUCGUGACACUUUUUAAAGGAGUUGAUAGCAUUCUAGAAGUUUCAAGUCUUGUACUGAUAUCUUGAAAGCCUGACUGAACUAAGUGCUCAUUCGUUAUACCAUAUUGAGCAACAUCAUUGAAGACAUUGAAGCACACCUGUAAAUGUUAGAACUAACGUUAGCAAAUAAAAUCAGCCACUUUGAGGAAACAGAAAAAGGAACUCGUAAAGAUUUGGAACCACUUACGACACGUAAAUGGACAUCAGUUUUUCACAGGGCAUAGUCUCUCACACGGCAUCACAAAUCUUACUGAUAUCACAAGGGUCCCACAGACAUCACUACUCUCUCACAACCAUCAAGAGUCUCUCACAGACUACUCUUUCACAGAUGCCACAAGUCUCUGUGGUGUGGAUGACAGGCAUAACAAAAUGAGUGAUGAACUCAGAGAAAGAACUACAUUUUGCUGAAGGAGCUUCUGAUGAACAUUUGUAAUACUGUAACUUUUUUGU
Long non-coding RNA from Danio aesculapii, 576 nucleotides. RefSeq lists it as uncharacterized. Lineage: Eukaryota; Metazoa; Chordata; Actinopteri; Cypriniformes; Danionidae. The transcript has 3 exons. The record is from RefSeq and is a predicted model, not a curated record.